Molecule: long non-coding RNA, 2604 nt
Organism: Lagenorhynchus albirostris (white-beaked dolphin)
Lineage: Eukaryota; Metazoa; Chordata; Mammalia; Artiodactyla; Delphinidae
Exons: 3
Source: RefSeq, a predicted model, not a curated record
UCUAUUAGAGGAAAACCCCAUAGCACCUGCCAAAUAUAAGCUGCCUUUGGUCUUAUACGUCUUUUCAAUAUUCUGUCCAGGCACCACCAAACUUUUCACUUAGAAGGAAGUGAUUGUUUUACCAGAAGAGAUUAUUUAUUUCUAUAUGCUGAAAUCAAAAAUUGAAAAAAGACCAGAAGAUCCAAAGAGAUGCAGAGACAGCCAGCACUAUGACAUCAGGAGAACAAAAAGCAAAAUUUUGAAAAAAGCUCAGAUAAUAAGCAAAGGAGAAUAAAAUCUGAGACUUAAAUUUUGUGGCCACAUCUGGAAAUGAGGGGCAGAAAUGUAAAGCUCUCCUUCCCUUGGGGAUGUAUCAAGCUGUGUGGAUGAAAAGCCCGUGCUGGGCAAGGACUGGCCACAGCGCAGAGUCUGAGCUGGUGGUACUCGGGAGACUGUUCACUCCCAUGUCCCCACCUAAUGAUUAUAGCUGCCACUGACUUGGGAUCUGAUAACAGAUGCCUAUCUGUGUCUCACAGGCUUCUGGAACUCAACACAUACCAGAUUCUCUCAGGUCCAGGUUGCUUAGGUUUCUGGAUGCUGUGGGCCAUCCCCCAAACCUCUGGGUUCAGAUCUGCUCUGAGGAGUUCAAGGGAGAGAACAGCAGCAGCAGGUGGGAAGCUUUGGUGUGAAGCAUGCAGAAAAUCCAGGAAUUAUGCAAUUACGCAGCAGGCCCACGAUGCAAACCUCUUCAGCACAAACACACAUCCUCCGCUUCGGCUUGAUGUGGUAGCAUAACUGUCGCCCUAAUUCCUGAUACCUUUCUCCCCCAAGCCGUUCCCAAUGGAGAAAAAUAACUAACCCGGGCAAUGCAGAAGAGCCUUCCACACCCUGCCGAGGAUUCCAUCAUCAUCACAAGCAACGUGUUGCUCUAGUACAAUGGUUUUUGAAGAGUAGUCCCUGGACGGGCAGCGUCAGCAUCACCAGGGAAGAUGUUAAUCAUUCCAGACCCCCUAAAUCAGAAACUCUGGGGAUGGGGCCUGGCAAUCUCGUUUUAACAAACCCUCCUGGAAAUAGAAGAAGGAAAAAAGGAAGAGAGAAAUGAAACAAAACAAAAGCCCUUGGCUGGAUGGCUGUGUCUCAGGUAGAAAGAAGUUAAAUGGCAAAAUAGGCGUGCAAAACAGGUGUGCAAAGCACGCUGGAUGGAGAAUACCAAGUGCGGAGGGUGUGUGCCACUCCAGAUAAUGCCACUCAGGCCUGGCCGAAAAAGCCUCCAGGCUGAGCCAGAAUGCUCUGUUCUAAGCGCCUCAAAGUUUCUGGCUCUGCCCUCUUUUUUUCUCACAGAGAUACACAGCUGACACAGGCACACUUGGGAACAACUCCCAAUAGCAAACUUAGGUUCCUAGUUAAUCUCCCACACAUCUGGAUCUGUCUUGAAAGUUACAGACAAUGCACAUGAAGGACAGCACUGCCACCGGGCAGGAGGGGGCCCUCUCCUCCCUAUGGAGAGUAGUGAGCGGGGACUAGGCUACAGCCCUGUGGUGGGAGUGGGGAGGCUGUCUCUCGGACGUCGGAGAGAAGUUUGGGAUGUUGUGGUAUCUGGCUGGUCCUGGUUCCUCUCACUUGUGGUCUAUGCUUAUUUAUAUUAUCUGGAAAGCUGGCAGAGACCUGCCCAGACACAAAAGUCCCAGCUUCUGCAAGACUACUUGAUAGCCUGUGCAUCCAAAGUGACAACUGAGGAAGUAGGCUGCGUGCAGAAACGCAGGAUGGGGGUUGCUGUUGGUAGGGUCAGCUGACCUGUCUGGAAGGGCGCACUUGCCACUGAGGCAGUGGAAACCUGGUUCUAGCCCACUGUCUCCCCUCUCACCCUUCUGUCCUAGGUCCCUCCUAUUCUCUGUCAAUUUCCAGACUAGGACUCUGACACCCCUGGGCUUCUGCUUAUAUUAUUCCUUCUGACAAGAACACCCCUCCACCACGUUCCCUACACGGCCAGCUUCUCUCUCACUCCCUCCCUCGCCUGGCCGUCCUGUUCCAAGGGAGAAAAACUAGAGGGCUCUUUCGUUUAGCCUGCAAAGUGAUUUUAAAAUCAGGAGACUUCAUGGAAAUAUCCAGCUUGCUUCACAAACUGGAAGAUCUGGCAAUAUUGCCCCCCCACUGCUGCAUGGCAAUAAUUACCUUGUUCUAAGUAGCAGCUGUCCCCACUGGAUGAGACAUAAGCAUUACACUUCUCUAAGGCCUUCACUACUCCCUGAUGUAUUUUGGAUUUACACCCCUGUGAUACACUGUACCUUUUCUAAAUCUCUACUUUUAAAAACUUUUACUUUUUUUUUUUUGGCUGCGUUGGGUCUUCCUUGCUGUGCGCAGGCUUUCUCUAGUUGCGGUGAGCAGGGGCUACUCUUCGAUGCGGUGGCGGGCUUCUCAUUACAGUGGCUCUCCUUGUUGCGGAGCACGGGCUCUAGGCGUGUGGGCUUCAGUAGUUGUGGCACGCAGGCUCAGUAGUUGUGGAUUGUGGGCUCUAGAGCGCAGGCUCAGUAGUUGUGAUGCACGGGCUUAGUUGCUCCGUGCAACUGAGAUGUGAGAUCUUCCCAGACCAGGGCUCAAACCCGUGUCCCCUGCAUUGGCAGGCAG